AAACCCAAUAAGUAAGAAGUUUUCAAAUAAAAACUAAUAAAAGUCAGAGAUCACAGGUAAGGGGGUUGGUUACACAGCGGGAAGGUGUUAGCACCCAAAGUGUCCUAGGUGAAGGUGAGAAAAACAAGAAAGGGGGGUUUGAAUUGUUUUAGAAAUUAAAAGCUUUUUCAAAAGUAAGAACACACAAAAUUUUAUACUAGUUCGCUUAUAACACAAAGCUAC
Molecule: long non-coding RNA, 222 nt
Filed under: Lathyrus oleraceus (garden pea)
Lineage: Eukaryota; Viridiplantae; Streptophyta; Magnoliopsida; Fabales; Fabaceae
Description: Pisum sativum (pea) long non-coding RNA (PSAT_LNC034189)
Source: RNAcentral